Molecule: ribosomal RNA, 1545 nt
Filed under: Gyrodinium sp. HJ-2011
Lineage: Eukaryota; Dinophyceae; Gymnodiniales; Gymnodiniaceae
Description: eukaryotic LSU rRNA
Rfam family: Eukaryotic large subunit ribosomal RNA (bases 612-1545)
Source: RNAcentral
GUCGUAACAAGGUUUCCGUAGGUGAACCUGCGGAAGGAUCAUUCACACACGUUGAAUCCACUUUCAUCACCUGAACUUUUCUGUGUGAGUCUUUGCUUGCGGGCCGCAAGGCUAGCUUGUAAGGAUUCAGGGGCGGCCAGGCAGGGGCGGUCUUUGGACUAGCCCCUGUUGUGGUCCGCCGGCUUUUUCAACACACAAUCCUGAUGUGCUUGUUAGCUCGUUGGCUGCACAGCCAAGCGAUAUGAGAGCUUACAACUUUCAGCGACGGAUGUCUCGGCUCAAACAACGAUGAAGGGCGCAGCGAAGUGCGAUAAGCAUUGCGACUUGCAGAAUUCCGUGAACCAACAGAUUCCUGAACGUAUACUGCGCUUUCGGGAUACCCCUGAAAGCAUGUCUACUUCAGUGUCUACUUCGGUCUCAUGCUGUUGAUGGCGGUUCUUGCCGCUGCUAGUCAACAUGCGUCUUUGUGCACCAAGGAGCCUUGUGCCCUUGAUGCAUCCAGUGCAAUGAGCUUGGCCUUGCGAGCAACUAACAGAACGCCUUCUGGCGCAUUGUCUGCUGCUCUGCAUUGUCGUGGCUCUGCUUUCAUCGGUGCUUCGGCUCCGUUGUCCUGACAUGAAGUUAGGUCAGCAAACCCGCUGAAUUUAAGCAUAUAAGUAAGCGGUGGAUAAGAAACUAAAUAGGAUUCCCUUAGUAAUGGCGAAUGAACAGGGAUGAGCUCAGCAUUAAAAUCUGGGCCCUCGGCCUUGAAUUGUAAUCUCGAGAAGUGCAACCAACGGCGGCGCAGGUGUAAGCCUCUUGGAAAAGAGCACCAAUGAGGGUGAGAGUCCCGUUUGUCAUCUGCAGUCCUCCGUGUACGGUGUGCUUUCUAAGAGUCACGUUCCUCGGGCUUGGAGCGCCAAAGGUGGUAAAUUUCAUCUAAAGCUAAAUAUAGGUUUGAGACCGAUAGCAAACAAGUACCAUGAGGGAAAGAUGAAAAGGACUUUGGAAAGAGAGUUAAAAGUGCCUGAAAUCGCUGAAAGGGAAGCGAAUGGAACCAGUGUUUCUUGUGGAGCUUGCUGGGCGUAAUCUGGAUGGGGCUCUGUUUCAGCGCAAGCGUCUCAGGGUUCUUUGAAGGUGCUCGCUUGGUGCUGCUCUGCUUGCUUGUCAACGUCAAUUUGGAGUUGAGGAAAACUCGGGGAAAAUGGAAGCCUCCUUACGGGGGGGUGAACGUUCCUUGUAGAACUCAUCUCUGGAUUGAAGUGCUUGCGUUUGGUUGCAAUGCCUCACUCUGUGCCAGCUGCCCUGGUAAAUUCAGCAGGUGCGCGGCGCUAACCAGUGGGCGCAUUCCUUGACGCUACGAUGCUGACAAAAUGGUUUCACUCGACCCGUCUUGAAACACGGACCAAGGAGUCUAACAUAUGUGCAAGUUCCCGGGUGGUUAAACCUGUUGGCGUAAUGAAAGUGACUGCUGGGAUUUUUGCACCAGCAACCGACUGACCAAUUGAGAGAGGUUUGAGUAUGAGCACAUCUGUUAGGACCCGAAAGAUGGUGAACUAUGCGUGA